GGAAGCGUGCCAGAGCGGUUGAAUGGGAUAGUUUCGAAAACUAUUAUACCCGUAAGGGUAUCGGAGGUUCGAAUCCUCCCGCUUCCG
RNAcentral lists this transfer RNA (87 nucleotides) under Candidatus Nealsoniibacteriota bacterium. Its description in RNAcentral is "Candidatus Nealsonbacteria bacterium tRNA-Ser". It matches the Rfam family "tRNA". From Rfam's summary of the family: Transfer RNA (tRNA) molecules are approximately 80 nucleotides in length. Their secondary structure includes four short double-helical elements and three loops (D, anti-codon, and T loops). The record is from RNAcentral. Lineage: Bacteria; Candidatus Nealsoniibacteriota.